AACCAUUACCACAGAGACCACACAUGUACCGACACAUGGUCCCGGGUGCCGUGAAAACGGUCGGACCCAUGGGGUGCGUGGAGGCUUAACC
RNAcentral lists this small RNA (91 nucleotides) under Kushneria marisflavi. RNAcentral describes it as "t44 RNA". It matches the Rfam family "t44 RNA". From Rfam's summary of the family: This family consists of a number of bacterial RNA genes of between 135 and 170 bases in length. The t44 gene is found between the map and rpsB genes in all species in the full alignment apart from Shigella flexneri. Lineage: Bacteria; Pseudomonadati; Pseudomonadota; Gammaproteobacteria; Oceanospirillales; Halomonadaceae. The record is from RNAcentral.